UGGGGAAUCUUAGACAAUGGGGGAAACCCUGAUCUAGCCAUGCCGCGUGAUCGAUGAAGGCCUUAGGGUUGUAAAGAUCUUUCAGCUGGGAAGAUAAUGACGGUACCAGCAGAAGAAGCCCCGGCUAACUCCGUGCCAGCAGCCGCGGUAAUACGGAGGGGGCUAGCGUUAUUCGGAUUUACUGGGCGUAAAGCGCACGUAGGCGGAUUGGAAAGUUGGAGGUGAAAUCCCAGGGCUCAACCUUGGAACUGCCUUCAAAACUCCCAGUCUUGAGUUCGAGAGAGGUGAGUGGAAUUCCGAGUGUAGAGGUGAAAUUCGUAGAUAUUCGGAGGAACACCAGUGGCGAAGGCGGCUCACUGGCUCGAUACUGACGCUGAGGUGCGAAAGCGUGGGGAGCAAACAGG
RNAcentral lists this ribosomal RNA (404 nucleotides) under uncultured prokaryote. Its description in RNAcentral is "bacterial SSU rRNA". It matches the Rfam family "Bacterial small subunit ribosomal RNA", at positions 355 to 776 of the family's 1533-position model. RNAcentral also lists the same sequence under 1 other name. The record is from RNAcentral.